GUUAGCAGUAAGCAACUUAAAUUUGAAAAGCAACAUCAUUCACAAUAAAAUAUUUUUAAAAUUCUUGAAUAUUUAGGAAUAAGCAUAAAAAGCAAAAAGAGAUGUGUAAGACCCCAAACACUAAAAAUUGAAAAACAUUACCAAGAAAAAAUGAGAGAAACUCUAAAUAAAUGGAGAACUAUGUUAUUAUGAUCAUUGACUUGAAAAGUCAAUGUUUUAUAGAUACUAAUUAUCUUCAAAUUAAUGUAUGAAUUUAAUGCAAAAAUGCUGAUCAAAUCAAUUACCAGGCAUUAACAACAUAGUUCUAAAAUUUGAAUUGAAGGACCAAGAACCUAGAAUAGCCGAAGCUAUCUAGACAAAACUUGCUACCUGCUUUCAGAAUUCAAGGUUUUCUGUAAAGAUUCUUUCAUUAAGAGAAUAGGGUGCCCACAUAAGGACUGGCAAAUAGAUCAGUGGGACAGAACAGAGACCCCAGAAGAAAAUUCACACUUACGUGUUAUUCAGUUUUUGAUGAGAUACAAAUAUCUCAUUUUUUCCAAUGGGGAAAGAAAAGUUUUUUUCAACAUAUUGUGG
RNAcentral lists this long non-coding RNA (573 nucleotides) under Marmota monax (woodchuck). Lineage: Eukaryota; Metazoa; Chordata; Mammalia; Rodentia; Sciuridae. The record is from RNAcentral.